Molecule: long non-coding RNA, 561 nt
Filed under: Elaeis guineensis (African oil palm)
Lineage: Eukaryota; Viridiplantae; Streptophyta; Magnoliopsida; Arecales; Arecaceae
Description: long non-coding RNA (EGUI_LNC027854)
Source: RNAcentral
UUGGGACUGAUAGUUUUUUGAUCAUAACUCGGUUAGAUGGAUUGAUCCAAAAGACUAACCGACUCAUAGUUGUUAUGUUGACCAGAGAUUGUUCCGAUAUGUAAGUCGUGUAGGAAUUGGAUAUGAUUAGAGAUCGAUCAGCAAACUCUCUGACCAAGGGUUGGACCAAACCUUUUCUAUCCAAAAUUCGGAUAAAGAACUAUUCGACUAGAGGUCGAAUCAAAGAUUGACCGACUCAAGGUCGGAUCAGGCACACAUCGAUUAAGGGUCAGAUGAGUCAUAAUUAAUCAUGCGACUGCACUGCUUAAGAUGUGCAAUCCGACUAGCUCUUUUAGAUAAAAAAUUGGAUCAAGAACAUAUCGAUGAGAAGUCAGAUAGAAUAGCCUUAGACUAGGGGUCGGGACAGAUAUUUGCCGACCAAGGAUCGGGCAAACCACAACAAUUAGACCGCUUGAGAGGUGCUGAUAUGGACCCGAUGGGUCAUAAUGGGCUUGAAUCUUCACACAUCAUCAGUCCAUUCUAAAUUACUCCUAACAGAUACACCCUUACUUCCUAAUUCGA